GACGAACCUUGCAAACGUUAUUCGGAAUUACUGGGCUUAAAGGGUGCGUAGGCUGUGCAGAAAGUCAGGUGUGAAAUACCUCAGCUUAACUGAUGAAUUGCGCCCGAAACUACUGUGCUAGAGGAAGACAGAGGUAAGCGGAACUUAGGGUGGAGCGGUGAAAUGCGUUGAUAUCCUAAGGAACACCGGUGGCGAAAGCGGCUUACUGGGUCUUAUCUGACGCUGAUGCACGAAAGCUAGGGUAGCGAACGGG
Molecule: ribosomal RNA, 253 nt
Filed under: uncultured bacterium
Lineage: Bacteria
Description: partial 16S ribosomal RNA
Rfam family: Bacterial small subunit ribosomal RNA
Source: RNAcentral